GCGAUCCAAAAUUUAAUUUAAAAGAACACAUGGUAGCUAGGAAAAGGUUCAGACCUUUGUACAAAAUUUUUGUACAGUGGAACCUCUAGGUUUUCCGAGUAGCAACCAACACCUCAAAAGUUGUCGGUAUAUGUUUAAUUGUUGCGCUUAAUUAAUUGUACUUAAAGUUGUAAUUCUUCAAAUCUAUAGUGAUUGCCCAACGAAAGCGAUCGACGAUCGCAGACCUUGGAGUAGGAGUCGCCACAUGCUCCGAAGUAAAUAAAAGUAUUAGCGCUUGUUUUGCUUCCGCUUUAUUUCGUAUUUCCGCUGCGUUACUCUGUGCUUUCCUAAACGAGUGUACAUCUCGAUCCUACAGUUAACAGCCUUUUUGAUCUUGGUCUUUGAGCAUGUGUUGUCUCCAAACCAUAAUAAAUGUUCUUAAACCCAAGAUUAAAUCUCUGAUAGUGCUGUUAUACAGAUUUGAAGUCCUGAUAUUUGGCAGAAAGUUAUAUUACUACAAACUCUUUUUCAUUAUACCAUUUCUUUGAUAGUUGACUGUACAGUGUAGUUUUUUACAUGCCACUCUAUAUGUAAGCAUUCUCCCAUCACUUGUUUUUGCUUGCCCAUUCAAUCUUGUGCCUUUCUGAAUUUAUUAUCAGUUAUUUGAUUACUUUACACGAGGCAAAAUGUGGCAAUUGCUCAUGACUUGUGUGUUCUUAUUGUGUACCUUCUGAGCAGGAGAUUUUGACAGAUCUACAUAUAAUGAUAGUGAUCUUCGGUCUGCAUACCAUAUUCGUGAAUAUGAUGUAAUGUAGUGCAAGCAAAUUAGGGACCCAGUAGAUAUUUUCAUAUCACAUGACUGGCCUGUUGGUAUCUAUGAAUAUGGAAAUCUGUAGUCUUGUUCAAGAUAAACCAUUUUCUAAAGAAGAGGUAUAUUAUAAUUAUAGUUUUCAUGCAUAUUUUUUCUAUGAUUUGCUAAUCUAUAAAUGAAGAUAGCUUGUACAUAUCUUGGCAUCUGGUCAUUUGUAUUAGUUAGUGCUUCUAUGUAACAUAUAUAAAUUGCUUUCUGGUUGGUUGCCAUCUAAAGAUAGUGCCAUAUGCCUAUGGUUCGUACUGGAAGUCAAAAUCAGGACCAUUAAAACUCAUUUCAGUGGUUCAACUGCAAUCAUCUAGAUUAGGCUGAAUUAAAGUUCCAGUCAGAUAUUCAUAUCUGCAUAUUAUUUAUCAUCAAAAUUAUUUUUGAAAAAAAUCUAUAUAAAGCACACUUCCCAGAAUUGUAAUUUUUUCAAAAAAUUCUCUCUCAGGAAGGAUGUUUCCUGCAAGAAUCCAACUAUUAUCCAAGAAUCAUCUUACAUGCAUUCUAUCUACCACAUCAAAGCAUUUUCAGCUAACAUACACUAGAUCCAGAAUCGAACUCUUGGAAGUAUGCCUGCUGCAGAGCUUCUGAGCCAACUGAAACCUCAGUAUUGGUUUUCAUCUCAUCUUCACUUCAAAUUUUCAGCUGUUAGAAACAAGGAAGAUGGAUGGUUCUGUAACAAAGUUCCUAACUCUUGACAAAUGCCUUCCUGGUCGGAGUUUUUUACAGGUUGAAAUUUCAAUGGUUAUUUCACCAUGUUAAUGUAUGGCAUAUCAAAACAAUUGAAGAACUAAGGGCAUCUCCAAUGAAAAAACCUCAAAAGUAAAAAAUAUGAUAUUAUUAUUGCCACAGCAAAAAUAAAAAUUCUCCUAAGUUUAUUUCUA
Zingiber officinale is the source of this 1719-nucleotide long non-coding RNA. RefSeq lists it as uncharacterized. The transcript has 2 exons. Lineage: Eukaryota; Viridiplantae; Streptophyta; Magnoliopsida; Zingiberales; Zingiberaceae. The record is from RefSeq and is a predicted model, not a curated record.